GCAGUUGAUCUUCUUCUGUGACAUUUUAUUGGACGGUUUAUUUAAUACAAAUGUCUUUAAAAUAUAUUUAAUCUCUGAACCAAUCAACAAGGAUGGAUUGCCUGUUUAUGUUUUUUUUCAAAUUCCAACUUUUCCAGAGGACAAGUCAGUAACCCAAGUUCUGGAUAAGAGUCUCAAGAAAAAAGCUUCCCACCCAGUGCACGGACAAUGAAGAUGAAUAUCCAGGUGUUGUCGUCUAUGAUGACGAAGAGUUUCCUAUUUCCUCUCAACAACUUCCCACCCAGUGCACGGACAAUGAAGAUGAAUAUCCAGGUGUUGUCGUCUAUGAUGACGAAGAGUUUCCUAUUUCCUCUCAACAAGAAGGGCAGGACGUCUUAGAAAUUACUGCUUCUGGUGAAAGACAAGGCCAUCACAGCUCUGUGAGACCUUUCCAAUCUGCCCGAUAUGAGAAUGACGAUGCUGCAACUCCAGCCAGUCUUCAGGAGGAGGAGGGCAAAAAGAUGAAUGAAGGCACCUACAGCCAACACUCUACAUAAAUUGGCAAAUUGAGACUCUAGAAAGUCACUGGUCCUGGGCCAAGACUCAAUCACAUAACAGCAUUUUCUUAGGAGCAUCAUGUUUGUUUAGUCAGAGCGGAGCACGACUCCUGACUUUUCCCUGUGUUUUUUUAUAUAUCUGUUGUAAUUUAUUGUCUU
Molecule: long non-coding RNA, 695 nt
Organism: Trematomus bernacchii (emerald rockcod)
Lineage: Eukaryota; Metazoa; Chordata; Actinopteri; Perciformes; Nototheniidae
Exons: 6
Source: RefSeq, a predicted model, not a curated record